This is a non-coding RNA of Enterococcus faecium DO, 39 nucleotides long. The record is from Rfam. NCBI's taxonomy places the organism in Bacteria, Bacillati, Bacillota, Bacilli, Lactobacillales, Enterococcaceae.
ACGAUAUUCCGCUGUGAGAAAAGCUCAUAAGAAUAUUUG